RNAcentral lists this ribosomal RNA (833 nucleotides) under Salmonella enterica subsp. enterica serovar Berta. Its description in RNAcentral is "partial 23S ribosomal RNA". It matches the Rfam family "Bacterial large subunit ribosomal RNA", at positions 161 to 1031 of the family's 2925-position model. Lineage: Bacteria; Pseudomonadati; Pseudomonadota; Gammaproteobacteria; Enterobacterales; Enterobacteriaceae. The record is from RNAcentral.
AAUCCAUAGGUUAAUGAGGCGAACCGGGGGAACUGAAACAUCUAAGUACCCCGAGGAAAAGAAAUCAACCGAGAUUCCCCCAGUAGCGGCGAGCGAACGGGGAGGAGCCCAGAGCCUGAAUCAGCAUGUGUGUUAGUGGAAGCGUCUGGAAAGGCGCGCGAUACAGGGUGACAGCCCCGUACACAAAAGCGCAUGUGCUGUGAGCUCGAUGAGUAGGGCGGGACACGUGGUAUCCUGUCUGAAUAUGGGGGGACCAUCCUCCAAGGCUAAAUACUCCUGACUGACCGAUAGUGAACCAGUACCGUGAGGGAAAGGCGAAAAGAACCCCGGCGAGGGGAGUGAAAAAGAACCUGAAACCGUGUACGUACAAGCAGUGGGAGCACAGGUUUACCUGUGUGACUGCGUACCUUUUGUAUAAUGGGUCAGCGACUUAUAUUCUGUAGCAAGGUUAACCGUAUAGGGGAGCCGGAGGGAAACCGAGUCUUAAUUGGGCGUUAAGUUGCAGGGUAUAGACCCGAAACCCGGUGAUCUAGCCAUGGGCAGGUUGAAGGUUGGGUAACACUAACUGGAGGACCGAACCGACUAAUGUUGAAAAAUUAGCGGAUGACCUGUGGCUGGGGGUGAAAGGCCAAUCAAACCGGGAGAUAGCUGGUUCUCCCCGAAAGCUAUUUAGGUAGCGCCUCGUGAAUUCAUCUCCGGGGGUAGAGCACUGUUUCGGCUAGGGGGCCAUCCCGGCUUACCAACCCGAUGCAAACUGCGAAUACCGGAGAAUGUUAUCACGGGAGACACACGGCGGGUGCUAACGUCCGUCGUGAAGAGGGAAACAACCCAGA